UUUCUAUCUUCUCUUCCAAUC
Molecule: microRNA, 21 nt
Filed under: Physcomitrium patens
Lineage: Eukaryota; Viridiplantae; Streptophyta; Bryopsida; Funariales; Funariaceae
Description: ppt-miR1027b
Source: miRBase by way of RNAcentral